Molecule: ribosomal RNA, 480 nt
Filed under: uncultured bacterium
Lineage: Bacteria
Description: SSU rRNA
Rfam family: Bacterial small subunit ribosomal RNA
Source: RNAcentral
AGGACGAACGCUGGCGGCGUGCUUAACACAUGCAAGUCGAGCGAGGCCCUUCCUUCGGGAAGGUGCCCUAGCGGCGAACGGGUGAGUAACACGUGGGCAACCUGCCCCUAGCACUGGGAUAAGCCCGGGAAACCGGGUCUAAUACCGGAUAUGACCUUCGAGGGCAUCCUUGAAGGUGUAAAGGAUUCUGGCUAGGGAUGGGCCCGCGGCCUAUCAGCUUGUUGGUGGGGUAAUGGCCUACCAAGGCGACGACGGGUAGCCGGCCUGAGAGGGCGACCGGCCACACUGGGACUGAGACACGGCCCAGACUCCUACGGGAGGCAGCAGUGGGGAAUCUUGCACAAUGGGCGAAAGCCUGAUGCAGCGACGCCGCGUGAGGGAUGACUGCCUUCGGGUGUAAACCUCUUUCAGCAGGGACGAAGCGAAAGUGACGGUACUGCAGAAGAGCACCGGCCAACUACGCGCCAGCAGCCGCGGUAA